Molecule: unclassified non-coding RNA, 572 nt
Filed under: Hevea brasiliensis (rubber tree)
Lineage: Eukaryota; Viridiplantae; Streptophyta; Magnoliopsida; Malpighiales; Euphorbiaceae
Source: RNAcentral
AAAAAAAUGUAAAUUACAUGAAACUUCUUGUAAAUUAGUGAAGGCACAUUAACCUCUUAAGAAGUAAGAGAGGAAUUGGAUAGCCUAAGGCACUCGCUUUGGCACCUCCGUAGACAGACAUCAUUCCAGUUGGGCACUUGAUGUUGAUUAACACAGACAGUUCUCGCGCAAGCAUCAGCACAAGCAUCAAGCUCAGAAACACCACAAACGGUGACACAGGUAUCAAUGGUAGGGUCUUUAGAUAAUGCACCAACCUUUUUUAACAUCCUCUUAGAAGUGCACACCCUCUCACAAACAAAAAUUUCAUCAGAGCUUUUCUCACGUCCUCUGGCAGUCUUUAGCCUCUGCUCUUCAGCUCUCUUUUUCUUCAUCCUAAAAGCUUGCCCUGCAAUAACAGCUGGUAUUGCAGCACUUAACAGAAACCACCAUGGAUCCACCAUAGCUGGAAUCCUGCAUGGAGGGUUUAGAUGCGAAGGAUUACAGCGUAGAAAGGGUUUUGACGGAGUAAACUAAUAGGCGCUCCGCUUCACGAGUGAGCGCAAGGUAAGACACACUGUACUUUUGGAUCUAGC